GCGGACACGAUCACUCAUAAUUAUUCCUUAAAUUCACCUUGUAAAUAUCGAUUACCUGCCAAAAAACAAUCCAGCUACAUCGGUCACCGACACCAGAUACAAACCUUUUAUAUCAAAAGCUUACAAUUAAUAAAUGUAAUAUAACACACAACUAGGUGGCAAUUAUCAAUAACUAAUCAACCAUUAAAAAUCUAAAUUUACUGAAAAACUAGGCCACAAUAUAAAGUGGGUGUAAUAUGAACGCAUAUUGCACGAAAUAAGUGUUACAACGCCUAAAAAGGCACCAAAUAAGCCUUGGGAAUGUUGAUUUUGUUAAUGAAAACAACA
RNAcentral lists this unclassified non-coding RNA (327 nucleotides) under Moritella viscosa. RNAcentral describes it as "putative sRNA". Lineage: Bacteria; Pseudomonadati; Pseudomonadota; Gammaproteobacteria; Alteromonadales; Moritellaceae. The record is from RNAcentral.